UUAAGCGACUAAGCGUACACGGUGGAUGCCCUGGCAGUCAGAGGCGAUGAAGGACGUGCUAAUCUGCGAUAAGCGUCGGUAAGGUGAUAUGAACCGUUAUAACCGGCGAUUUCCGAAUGGGGAAACCCAGUGUGAUUCGUCACACUAUCAUUACGUGAAUACAUAGCGUAAUGAAGCGAACCGGGGGAACUGAAACAUCUAAGUACCCCGAGGAAAAGAAAUCAACCGAGAUUCCCCCAGUAGCGGCGAGCGAACGGGGAGCAGCCCAGAGUCUGAAUCAGCUUGUGUGUUAGUGGAACGGUCUGGAAAGUCCGACGGUACAGGGUGAUAGUCCCGUACACCAAAAUGCACAGGUUGUGAACUCGAAGAGUAGGGCGGGACACGUGGUAUCCUGUCUGAAUAUGGGGGGACCAUCCUCCAAGGCUAAAUACUCCUGACUGACCGAUAGUGAACCAGUACCGUGAGGGAAAGGCGAAAAGAACCCCGGCGAGGGGAGUGAAAAAGAACCUGAAACCGUGUACGUACAAGCAGUGGGAGCCUCUUUAUGGGGUGACUGCGUACCUUUUGUAUAAUGGGUCAGCGACUUAUAUUCUGUAGCAAGGUUAACCGUAUAGGGGAGCCGAAGGGAAACCGAGUCUUAACUGGGCGUUAAGUUGCAGGGUAUAGACCCGAAACCCGGUGAUCUAGCCAUGGGCAGGUUGAAGGUUGGGUAACACUAACUGGAGGACCGAACCGACUAAUGUUGAAAAAUUAGCGGAUGACUUGUGGCUGGGGGUGAAAGGCCAAUCAAACCGGGAGAUAGCUGGUUCUCCCCGAAAGCUAUUUAGGUAGCGCCUCGUGAACUCAUCUUCGGGGGUAGAGCACUGUUUCGGCUAGGGGGUCAUCCCGACUUACCAACCCGAUGCAAACUGCGAAUACCGAAGAAUGUUAUCACGGGAGACACACGGCGGGUGCUAACGUCCGUCGUGAAGAGGGAAACAACCCAGACCGCCAGCUAAGGUCCCAAAGUCAUGGUUAAGUGGGAAACGAUGUGGGAAGGCACAGACAGCCAGGAUGUUGGCUUAGAAGCAGCCAUCAUUUAAAGAAAGCGUAAUAGCUCACUGGUCGAGUCGGCCUGCGCGGAAGAUGUAACGGGGCUAAACCAUGCACCGAAGCUGCGGCAGCGACACUAUGUGUUGUUGGGUAGGGGAGCGUUCUGUAAGCCGUUGAAGGUGGCCUGUGAGGGUUGCUGGAGGUAUCAGAAGUGCGAAUGCUGACAUAAGUAACGAUAAUGCGGGUGAAAAACCCGCACGCCGGAAGACCAAGGGUUCCUGUCCAACGUUAAUCGGGGCAGGGUGAGUCGACCCCUAAGGCGAGGCCGAAAGGCGUAGUCGAUGGGAAACAGGUUAAUAUUCCUGUACUUGGUGUUACUGCGAAGGGGGGACGGAGAAGGCUAUGUUAGCCGGGCGACGGUUGUCCCGGUUUAAGCAUGUAGGCGGAGGUUCCAGGUAAAUCCGGUACCUUUUAACGCUGAGGUGUGAUGACGAGGCACUACGGUGCUGAAGUAACAAAUGCCCUGCUUCCAGGAAAAGCCUCUAAGCAUCAGGUAACACGAAAUCGUACCCCAAACCGACACAGGUGGUCAGGUAGAGAAUACCAAGGCGCUUGAGAGAACUCGGGUGAAGGAACUAGGCAAAAUGGUGCCGUAACUUCGGGAGAAGGCACGCUGAUAUGUAGGUGAAGCGGUUUACCCGUGGAGCUGAAAUCAGUCGAAGAUACCAGCUGGCUGCAACUGUUUAUUAAAAACACAGCACUGUGCAAACACGAAAGUGGACGUAUACGGUGUGACGCCUGCCCGGUGCCGGAAGGUUAAUUGAUGGGGUUAUCCGUAAGGAGAAGCUCUUGAUCGAAGCCCCGGUAAACGGCGGCCGUAACUAUAACGGUCCUAAGGUAGCGAAAUUCCUUGUCGGGUAAGUUCCGACCUGCACGAAUGGCGUAAUGAUGGCCAGGCUGUCUCCACCCGAGACUCAGUGAAAUUGAACUCGCUGUGAAGAUGCAGUGUACCCGCGGCAAGACGGAAAGACCCCGUGAACCUUUACUAUAGCUUGACACUGAACACUGGUCCUUGAUGUGUAGGAUAGGUGGGAGGCUUUGAAGUGUGGACGCCAGUCUGCAUGGAGCCAUCCUUGAAAUACCACCCUUUAAUGGCUGGUGUUCUAACGUGGACCCGUUACCCGGGUUGCGGACAGUGUCUGGUGGGUAGUUUGACUGGGGCGGUCUCCUCCUAAAGAGUAACGGAGGAGCACGAAGGUUAGCUAAUCCUGGUCGGACAUCAGGAGGUUAGUGCAAAGGCAUAAGCUAGCUUGACUGCGAGAGUGACGGCUCGAGCAGGUGCGAAAGCAGGUCUUAGUGAUCCGGUGGUUCUGAAUGGAAGGGCCAUCGCUCAACGGAUAAAAGGUACUCCGGGGAUAACAGGCUGAUACCGCCCAAGAGUUCAUAUCGACGGCGGUGUUUGGCACCUCGAUGUCGGCUCAUCACAUCCUGGGGCUGAAGUAGGUCCCAAGGGUAUGGCUGUUCGCCAUUUAAAGUGGUACGCGAGCUGGGUUUAGAACGUCGUGAGACAGUUCGGUCCCUAUCUGCCGUGGGCGCUGGAGAAUUGAGGGGGGCUGCUCCUAGUACGAGAGGACCGGAGUGGACGCAUCACUGGUGUUCGGGUUGUCAUGCCAAUGGCAUUGCCCGGUAGCUAAAUGCGGAAGAGAUAAGUGCUGAAAGCAUCUAAGCACGAAACUUGCCCCGAGAUGAGUUCUCCCUGAGACUAUAAGUCUCCUGAAGGAACGUUAAAGACGAUGACGUUGAUAGGUCGGGUGUGUAAGUGUAGCGAUACAUUGAGCUAACCGAUACUAAUGAACCGUGAGGCUUAACCUU
RNAcentral lists this ribosomal RNA (2904 nucleotides) under Citrobacter freundii. RNAcentral describes it as "bacterial LSU rRNA". It matches the Rfam family "Bacterial large subunit ribosomal RNA". Lineage: Bacteria; Pseudomonadati; Pseudomonadota; Gammaproteobacteria; Enterobacterales; Enterobacteriaceae. The record is from RNAcentral. RNAcentral also lists the same sequence under 1 other name.